UCGUCCUAUUGCAUACUUUCAGACGAGAAUCAGACCAGUACAUAGUCGACCAAAAAAUAGGUGGAUGUACCUCCGGAUUUUCAACUACCAUGAGCAAGAUUGAUAGGUUCUCACAGUGCAUUGCUUUGCAUGAUUCAAGAGAGGCAUAAAGUCCCUGUAUUUUGUGAGUUAGGGUUAUAUCCUUUGCAAUGCCAACUAUUCGAUCGUAUCCUGCAUAGAUUUU
This 223-nucleotide long non-coding RNA is filed under the name Phoenix dactylifera (date palm). Its description in RNAcentral is "long non-coding RNA (PDAC_LNC015571)". The record is from RNAcentral. Lineage: Eukaryota; Viridiplantae; Streptophyta; Magnoliopsida; Arecales; Arecaceae.